AUUGAACGCUGGCGGCAUGCCUUACACAUGCAAGUCGAACGGCAGCACGGAGCUUGCUCUGGUGGCGAGUGGCGAACGGGUGAGUAAUAUAUCGGAACGUACCCUAGAGUGGGGGAUAACGUAGCGAAAGUUACGCUAAUACCGCAUACGAUCUAAGGAUGAAAGUGGGGGAUCGCAAGACCUCAUGCUCGUGGAGCGGCCGAUAUCUGAUUAGCUAGUUGGUAGGGUAAAAGCCUACCAAGGCAUCGAUCAGUAGCUGGUCUGAGAGGACGACCAGCCACACUGGAACUGAGACACGGUCCAGACUCCUACGGGAGGCAGCAGUGGGGAAUUUUGGACAAUGGGCGAAAGCCUGAUCCAGCAAUGCCGCGUGAGUGAAGAAGGCCUUCGGGUUGUAAAGCUCUUUUGUCAGGGAAGAAACGGUGGGAGCUAAUAUCUCUUGCUAAUGACGGUACCUGAAGAAUAAGCACCGGCUAACUACGUGCCAGCAGCCGCGGUAAUACGUAGGGUGCAAGCGUUAAUCGGAAUUACUGGGCGUAAAGCGUGCGCAGGCGGUUUUGUAAGUCUGAUGUGAAAUCCCCGGGCUCAACCUGGGAAUUGCAUUGGAGACUGCAAGGCUAGAAUCUGGCAGAGGGGGGUAGAAUUUCCCCGUGUAGCAGUGAAAUGCGUAGAUAUGUGGAGGAACACCGAUGGCGAAGGCAGCCCCCUGGGUCAAGAUUGACGCUCAUGCACGAAAGCGUGGGGAGCAAACAGGAUUAGAUACCCUGGUAGUCCACGCCCUAAACGAUGUCUACUAGUUGUCGGGUCUUAAUUGACUUGGUAACGCAGCUAACGCGUGAAGUAGACCGCCUGGGGAGUACGGUCGCAAGAUUAAAACUCAAAGGAAUUGACGGGGACCCGCACAAGCGGUGGAUGAUGUGGAUUAAUUCGAUGCAACGCGAAAAACCUUACCUACCCUUGACAUGGCUGGAAUCCUUGAGAGAUCAGGGAGUGCUCGAAAGAGAACCAGUACACAGGUGCUGCAUGGCUGUCGUCAGCUCGUGUCGUGAGAUGUUGGGUUAAGUCCCGCAACGAGCGCAACCCUUGUCAUUAGUUGCUACGAAAGGGCACUCUAAUGAGACUGCCGGUGACAAACCGGAGGAAGGUGGGGAUGACGUCAAGUCCUCAUGGCCCUUAUGGGUAGGGCUUCACACGUCAUACAAUGGUACAUACAGAGCGCCGCCAACCCGCGAGGGGGAGCUAAUCGCAGAAAGUGUAUCGUAGUCCGGAUUGUAGUCUGCAACUCGACUGCAUGAAGUUGGAAUCGCUAGUAAUCGCGGAUCAGCAUGUCGCGGUGAAUACGUUCCCGGGUCU
RNAcentral lists this ribosomal RNA (1353 nucleotides) under uncultured bacterium. RNAcentral's name for it is "bacterial SSU rRNA". It matches the Rfam family "Bacterial small subunit ribosomal RNA", at positions 28 to 1381 of the family's 1533-position model. The record is from RNAcentral.